CAACCUGCCUUUAUGAAUGGGAUAACAUCGAGAAAUUGGUGCUAAUACCGUAUAAUGUUCUUUCUUCACCUGAUGAAAGAAUCAAAGGUGCUUUUGUACCGCAUAGAGAUGGGCCUGCGUUCCAUUAGCUUGUUGGUAGGGUAACGGCUUACCAAGGCUGCGAUGGAUAGCUGAUCUGAGAGGGUGAUCAGCCACACUGGGACUGAGAUACGGCCCAG
Molecule: ribosomal RNA, 218 nt
Filed under: uncultured bacterium
Lineage: Bacteria
Description: partial 16S ribosomal RNA
Rfam family: Bacterial small subunit ribosomal RNA
Source: RNAcentral